This 490-nucleotide ribosomal RNA is filed under the name uncultured bacterium. RNAcentral describes it as "partial 16S ribosomal RNA". It matches the Rfam family "Bacterial small subunit ribosomal RNA", at positions 28 to 507 of the family's 1533-position model. The record is from RNAcentral.
GAUGAACGCUAGCGAUAGGCUUAACACAUGCAAGUCGAGGGGCAGCAUGGUCUUAGCUUGCUAAGACUGAUGGCGACCGGCGCACGGGUGCGUAACGCGUACGCAACUUGCCUCACAGAGGGGGAUAACCCGUCGAAAGACGGACUAAUACCGCGUACACUUGGGAUAGGGCAUCCUGAUCCAAGGAAAUGAAAUUCGCUGUGAGAAAGGCAUGCGUCCCAUUAGCUAGUUGGUGCGGUAACGGCUCACCCAGGUGACGAUGGGUAGGGGAACUGAGAGGGCGAUACCGGGUCAUGGUGCUGUGUGACGUACCAGGCGCCAGCGGGCGGCAGCAGGGGGGAAGAUUCGUCAAUGGGCGAGAGCCUAAACCAUCAAAGUCGCGUGAAGCAUCACUGUCUUAUGGAAUGUAAUCGUCUUAUGUGCGGGAUUGAGUAACAUCACGCGUGGCUCCGUGAAUGUACCGUAUGAAUAAGCAUCGGCUAACUCCGUG